Molecule: ribosomal RNA, 465 nt
Filed under: uncultured bacterium
Lineage: Bacteria
Description: partial 16S ribosomal RNA
Rfam family: Bacterial small subunit ribosomal RNA
Source: RNAcentral
GACGAACGCUGGCGGCGUGCUUAACACAUGCAAGUCGAACGGAAAGGCCCUGCUUGCCGGGUACUCGAGUGGCGAACGGGUGAGUAACACGUGGGUGAUCUGCCCUGCACUUCGGGAUAAGCCUGGGAAACUGGGUCUAAUACCGGAUAGGAGCCAUUUUUAGUGUGAUGGUUGGAAAGUUUUUUCGGUGUAGGAUGAGCUCGCGGCCUAUCAGCUUGUUGGUGGGGUAUUGGCCUACCAAGGCGGCGACGGGUAGCCGGCCUGAGAGGGUGGACGGCCACAUUGGGACUGAGAUACGGCCCAGACUCCUACGGGAGGCAGCAGUGGGGAAUAUUGCACAAUGGGCGCAAGCCUGAUGCAGCGACGCCGCGUGGGGGAUGACGGCCUUCGGGUUGUAAACUCCUUUCGCUAGGGACGAAGCUUUUUGUGACGGUACCUAGAUAAGAAGCACCGGCUAACUACGUG